This 108-nucleotide small RNA is filed under the name Photobacterium ganghwense. Its description in RNAcentral is "Manganese sequence". It matches the Rfam family "Manganese Mn2+ riboswitch aptamer (yybP-ykoY)". Rfam says of the family: This RNA was originally discovered in E. coli during a large scale screen and was named SraF. The family was later found to exist upstream of related families of protein genes in many bacteria, including the the yybP and ykoK genes in B. subtilis. The record is from RNAcentral. Lineage: Bacteria; Pseudomonadati; Pseudomonadota; Gammaproteobacteria; Vibrionales; Vibrionaceae.
UCACGCUCCUUUGGGGAGUAGCCUCUUGUUCUGUACAAGACAAACGUCAACAUAAUUGAAGCAAAAUCUUCAUGGCGUUUGUGACCCACGCAAUCCUACUUGUGGGUU